This 1333-nucleotide long non-coding RNA is filed under the name Homo sapiens (human). Its description in RNAcentral is "HSALNT0095747". Lineage: Eukaryota; Metazoa; Chordata; Mammalia; Primates; Hominidae. The record is from RNAcentral.
AGGAGGGAAAGAAGGAAGAUUUGGGACGAGUUACAUUGGGAACAGAGACUAGGGAGAGACCGAUAUGUAAAAGAAUGCCUGGACAUCGGGCACCUCAGACCGUUUGCCCAUUUUACGACAAGAAUUAUCUAGAUCUUGUAGGAUGGAAAAAUUGAAACUGCUGUUUUCUGGCUAUUUAGAGCCAUUUUCAAGUUUGUAUUAGGGCUAAGUAGUGUUGCAGAAGAAAAUAAGAUGCUUAGGUUUUAGGUCAGGUGAGAGUUGAAGAGGUUUUAAGUUCUUAAGAACACAGGCUAAGGGAGAAGAAGGAGGAAUGGAGGGUGGAAGCUUGCCUAUAGUGAAGGAGACAAGUUGAAAGAAAAGGGUAGAGACACGGAGAAGGGGGUGGGGAGCAGCCCUGGGCUGCAACAUGGGUGAGCAGCCAAAGCAGGCGUCCCCGCAAUUGACUUGACAUCAAGGGAACGUGGGUGAAUGAUCAAGGCAAGCAUCCCCGCAGAGAUCAGACACCAAUGGAAGGUGCUCAAACUAAGGAUGGAUGAGAUCACUCUGAGGUAUUGUUAGCAGUUAUUCAUGCUUCAGAUAAGGAAUAAAAUCAGACCUUUGAAUGAAUUUCCCAUAUUAAAAUUCCGUGAGAGUUUUUUUUCGUUAUUUUGGAGCUUUCCCCAGUGAUAUCGAGAGUGAUAUUUCACUGCUCUAAGGAAAAAUACCAUUGAAGCAUAAUGACAAACAGCAAGUGACCCUGAGCCUAGUUUUUCAGGAAGGGGAACAGUCACAUUCCAGCUCUUGGUCCCUCCCAUGACACAUGGUGGUUAAGGGAACUACAACUCAAGAUGAGAUUUCGGUGGAAACACAACCAAGCUGUAUCAGGUGAGGCUGGAAGUCUGUAGCGUGCUAACGUGGGGUGAAAUUCAGAAUUACCUGCUAGAGAAUUCCUUACACUGGAGACAGCUCUUUGUUAUAAGGAAGAGUCUGGGAGGGCUUCAAGAAGGCUUCUUCUCCUGCUGCCACAGUCCUUCUCAGAUCACUUCAGGAGAGGUUGGUGGGGUUCCAGGAAAUAAAACUUUAUGAAAAGUGGAGGAGCUCCUAUGACUGUGGAUCCCAGGACUUUGAUUCUCAUAUUAGUUUCUACUCCACUCCUAGAAAUUCAUCAAAAUGCCUAGUAAAGUACAUGGUUUUAGCAGUUUAUAGUGUUCGACGACUUCUCCAGAUAAGCAAAUCUAAAGCACUGUAUCUUUCUGGAUGUACCAAUCUCUCCAGAUUUUAAGGUGAUGGCUUGUCCCAUGACCUUAGUUUUCUGAUGGGUUCAAUAAAAGUCACUGCUUUUUGGUUUGUAAGG